Molecule: long non-coding RNA, 2232 nt
Filed under: Homo sapiens (human)
Lineage: Eukaryota; Metazoa; Chordata; Mammalia; Primates; Hominidae
Description: stem cell inhibitory RNA transcript
Source: RNAcentral
GUGCAGAGCCCAGGCGCGUGGGUCGGUGUCGGGUGUGUGUGUACGUCUGUGUGUGUAAUGAAACUGGACGCCUUCCUUCCCGGCGAUCUUGACUUAACCUGUCAGCAGAGGGCUUGAGGUUAGACCACAGGUUGAACCUAGGUGGCUGCUGGAGAGAAACACUCUGUCUUCCUGCUUUGAGGACAGCUGAAGUCUUGCCACUUCUUCUGGAUGCUCUGACCAUCAGUAAGCCACCUCAGUCUCACCCUCCGCAGAAUGCAGGCCCACUCCGUUGCUGAAGGGCCUCCUCCUUGGGCCAGGGCGCCUGCUUCUGCCAGUGGCAUCAUCACCCCACUCCUCAGCCGCCAGUCAUCAGAGACACGGUCUGACUUUGUUACCCCGGCUGGAGUGCAGUGGUGCAAUCAUGGCUCACUGCAGCCUUAACCUCCUGGGCUCAAGUGAUCCUCUCGCCAAGGCUAGGAUAAGUAGCUAGGACUACAGAUGCGCCCCAUCACGCCCAGCUAAUUUUACAACUUCUGUAGAGAUGGAGUGUUGCUGGGUUGCCCAGGCUGGUCUUGAAUUCCUGGGCUCAAGCGAUCCUCCUGUGUCCGGAAUUGGUGGGUUCUUGGUCUCACUGACUUCAAGAAUGAAGCCGCGGACCCUCGCGAGUCUGUAUCCACCAGCUACUCUUCCAGAUUCAUGAGGCAAGGCCUGCCUGCUCACCUGGCUGGCCCCAAGCACCUCUUCAACCUGUUGCCACCGUCCUGCCUUGCUGCCCUUCUCAGCUCAUCCAGCAGGGUCUCCAAGUCGUGGAAACAGAAGCACAUAUACACACAUGCUCAUAUGUACAUGCCCACAGUCACAUAAGCACACCGAGAAACACCAUCGCAGACAUGUUCUCACAAGCACAUGUGCAUAACACUCACUACCCCUCACGCGUAUACACAUUAAUACACACACUCAUGCACACUCAGUCUUACACACACAGACACACAGCCAUAAUCACUGUUGUUGGUUGAAUUGUGCCCCCCCAUCCCCACCAAAAAGAUAAGUUGGAGUCCUAACCCCCAGUACCUGGGGAUGUGACCGUAGUUGGAAAUAGGGUGUUUGUAGAUGUAAUCAAAUUAAGAUGAGAUCUUACUGGAUUAGAGUGGGCCUUAAAUCCAGUGACUGGUGUCCUUAUAAGGAGAAAAAGAUUUGAAAACAGAGACAUGGAGACACAGAGCAGAAGGCCAUGUGAUGAUGGAGUCAGAGAUUGGAGUGAUGCAGCUAUGAGCCGAGAAAUACCAAGGUGCUGGCAGCCCCCAGAAGCAAGGAGAGAGGCAAGGAACAAUCUCCAUCAGAGCCUCUGGAAGAAACAGACUCUGCCAACACCUUGAUUUCAGACUUUUGGCCUCCUUCACUGUGCGAGAAUACGUUUCUGUUGUUUUAAACUACUGAGUCACCAAGUCUGUGGUACUGUGUUAUGGCAGCCCCGGCAACAAAUCCAAUCACACACACACACACACACACACACACACACACACACACACACACACACACAGCUGGCUCCAGGCUCAGUGAUGAGCUCAGAGGAGUUCCCCUUGGGAGCUGCUCUUUCUCUGUCUUCCUUCCUUAGUGAUUGGUCCAGUGGAUCCACAAAAGCUCAUGGCCCAGAGCAGGAGCCCAGUCAUUUUUAAUUCCUCUUCCCUGGAGUUCUUAACCAUGCGUUGCCCUCAAAAUCUGCUCUCAAGAUUUGGGUUGCCAUAUUUAGGAGCACCAGAAAACAUACAGGAAUGCUGUGUCUGCUUGCAUCAUAUUAAUUAAAAACUGGAAAUAACCUAAAUGUCCCAGAAUAGGUACAUAAACUGUGGCAUAUCCACUUAAUGGAAUACUACUCAGCAAUACAAAAGGAAAACCUAGUGUUACUUGAGCAACAUGGAUGAACUUCACAGACAUAAUAUUGCACAGCACGAGGCAGACACAAAAGUGUGCAUAUGCUAUGAUUCCAUUUACAUGAGAUUCAAGAACAGGCAAAGCAGAUCUAUGGGGAUAGAAGUCAGAAUAGUGGUUACCUCUGGAAGGUGGAAUUGACUGGGAGGGGCUUCAGGGAACCUCCUGGGGUGCUGAAAACAUUCUGUGCUUGCACCGGGUGGUGGUUAUGUGGGCAUUACAUAAAAUUCACCAAGCUGCACCCUUAAUGAUUUGUACAAUUUGAUGCACAAAUCUAACAUCUCAAGAAGAAUAAAUUUUACAAAGUACCUAAGAAGCAAA